AAGUCGAACGGCAGCACGGGGGCAACCCUGGUGGCGAGUGGCGAACGGGUGAGUAAUACAUCGGAACGUGUCCUGUAGUGGGGGAUAGCCCGGCGAAAGCCGGAUUAAUACCGCAUACGCUCUACGGAGGAAAGGGGGGGAUCUUAGGACCUCCCGCUACAGGGGCGGCCGAUGGCAGAUUAGCUAGUUGGUGGGGUAAAGGCCUACCAAGGCGACGAUCUGUAGCUGGUCUGAGAGGACGACCAGCCACACUGGGACUGAGACACGGCCCAGACUCCUACGGGAGGCAGCAGUGGGGAAUUUUGGACAAUGGGGGCAACCCUGAUCCAGCAAUGCCGCGUGUGUGAAGAAGGCCUUCGGGUUGUAAAGCACUUUUGUCCGGAAAGAAAACCUCGUGGUUAAUACCCGUGGGGGAUGACGGUACCGGAAGAAUAAGCACCGGCUAACUAC
Molecule: ribosomal RNA, 450 nt
Filed under: Burkholderia sp. BSNF2(2)
Lineage: Bacteria; Pseudomonadati; Pseudomonadota; Betaproteobacteria; Burkholderiales; Burkholderiaceae
Description: bacterial SSU rRNA
Rfam family: Bacterial small subunit ribosomal RNA
Source: RNAcentral